UACGUAGGGUGCAAGCGUUAAUCGGAAUUACUGGGCGUAAAGCGUGCGCAGGCGGUUAUGCAAGACAGAUGUGAAAUCCCCGGGCUCAACCUGGGAACUGCAUUUGUGACUGCAUGGCUAGAGUACGGUAGAGGGGGAUGGAAUUCCGCGUGUAGCAGUGAAAUGCGUAGAUAUGCGGAGGAACACCGAUGGCGAAGGCAAUCCCCUGGACCUGUACUGACGCUCAUGCACGAAAGCUAGGGGAGCAAACGGG
Molecule: ribosomal RNA, 253 nt
Filed under: uncultured bacterium
Lineage: Bacteria
Description: partial 16S ribosomal RNA
Rfam family: Bacterial small subunit ribosomal RNA
Source: RNAcentral